This 253-nucleotide ribosomal RNA is filed under the name uncultured bacterium. RNAcentral's name for it is "partial 16S ribosomal RNA". It matches the Rfam family "Bacterial small subunit ribosomal RNA", at positions 524 to 776 of the family's 1533-position model. The record is from RNAcentral.
UACGGGGGGAGCAAGCGUUGUUCGGAUUUACUGGGCGUAAAGGGCUCGUAGGCGGCCAACUAAGUCGGACGUGAAAUCCCUCAGCUUAACUGGGGAACUGCGUCCGAUACUGGAUGGCUUGGAUUUGGGAGAGGGAUGCGGAAUUCCAGGUGUAGCGGUGAAAUGCGUAGAUAUCUGGAGGAACACCGGUGGCGAAGGCGGCAUCCUGGACCAAUAUUGACGCUGAGGAGCGAAAGCUAGGGGAGCAAACGGG